GAUGAACGCUGGCGGCGUGCCUAAUACAUGCAAGUCGAGCGAACGGACGAGAAGCUUGCUUCUCUGAUGUUAGCGGCGGACGGGUGAGUAACACGUGGAUAACCUACCUAUAAGACUGGGAUAACUUCGGGAAACCGGAGCUAAUACCGGAUGAUAUUUUGAACCGCAUGGUUCAAAAGUGAAAGACGGUCUUGCUGUCACUUAUAGAUGGAUCCGCGCUGCAUUAGCUAGUUGGUAAGGUAACGGCUUACCAAGGCAACGAUGCAUAGCCGACCUGAGAGGGUGAUCGGCCACACUGGAACUGAGACACGGUCCAGACUCCUACGGGAGGCAGCAGUAGGGAAUCUUCCGCAAUGGGCGAAAGCCUGACGGAGCAACGCCGCGUGAGUGAUGAAGGUCUUCGGAUCGUAAAACUCUGUUAUUAGGGAAGAACAUAUGUGUAAGUAACUGUGCACAUCUUAACGGUACCUAAUCAGAAAGCCACGGCUAACUACGUG
Molecule: ribosomal RNA, 497 nt
Filed under: uncultured bacterium
Lineage: Bacteria
Description: partial 16S ribosomal RNA
Rfam family: Bacterial small subunit ribosomal RNA
Source: RNAcentral